This 255-nucleotide ribosomal RNA is filed under the name uncultured bacterium. RNAcentral's name for it is "partial 16S ribosomal RNA". It matches the Rfam family "Bacterial small subunit ribosomal RNA", at positions 149 to 404 of the family's 1533-position model. The record is from RNAcentral.
UACCGAAAGGUAUGCUAAUACGAGAUAAUAUACUUUUAUCGCAUGGUAGAAGUAUCAAAGCUCCGGCGGUGCAGGAUGGACCCGCGUCUGAUUAGCUAGUUGGUAAGGUAACGGCUUACCAAGGCGACGAUCAGUAGCCGACCUGAGAGGGUGAUCGGCCACAUUGGAACUGAGACACGGUCCAAACUCCUACGGGAGGCAGCAGUGGGGAAUAUUGCACAAGGGGCGAAAGCCGGAUGCAGCAACGCCGCGUGA